RNAcentral lists this ribosomal RNA (164 nucleotides) under uncultured bacterium. Its description in RNAcentral is "partial 16S rRNA". It matches the Rfam family "Bacterial small subunit ribosomal RNA", at positions 355 to 511 of the family's 1533-position model. The record is from RNAcentral.
UAGGGAAUCUUCGGCAAUGGGCACAAGCCUGAUGGAGCAACACCGCGUGAGUGAAGAAGGGUUUCGGCUCGUAAAACUCUGUUGUUAGAGAAGAACACGAGUGAGAGUAACUGUUCAUUCGAUGACGGUAUCUAACCAGCAAGUCACGGCUAACUACGUGCCAG